GGGAAAGAAAAGUAGGUUAAGUGGUGGGACCAUUGAUUUUUAAUGUAUAAAAAGAAGAUAGUGAAGUAAAAGUAGUGUGAAAAGAGAAGAAAAGUAGAGAAGUAAUGGGAUCCGUUGACUAUUUUUGAAAAGUUUUAAAAUGUAAAGAAUUAGAUAUAACAGUCCUAAUAAAAAAAUGUAAAGAAAUGGGAGGGACUACAGGCUGCAACUUGCAUGUUUUUCGAGGAUUAACAUGAAAAUUAAGUGAUUUGAUAAAAUAGAAGAAGAUGAGAUUAGUGAAGAAGAUUAAGAUGAAAGUUAAUUAAUCUAGUUGACCUUGUUUCAUUACAUCAAACGCAACGAAUCGAAAGCGUGGAAAGAGAUUUACGAUUAAAUUACUCUGGGGCUGCGAAUGAGAUAACUUAGAUUAAUAAUACUCUGAC
Molecule: long non-coding RNA, 422 nt
Filed under: Daucus carota (carrot)
Lineage: Eukaryota; Viridiplantae; Streptophyta; Magnoliopsida; Apiales; Apiaceae
Description: long non-coding RNA (DCAR_LNC000865)
Source: RNAcentral